UCAAACUCUCUCGGACCUUCUUUAACCCUAGCAUCCUCUCAUCGUCGUCCACCUCGAAACUCAUUGGAAUCCAUGGCUUCUCAGGCCAUGGAGGUCUUAUACUCACAUCCUAUUGCUAUUAUGUGCUUGAUACCUGAAGAUUAAAGGACAAACCUUGAAGUUUUACGCUCUGACCAUUGCCGAUUCGAGGUCCCAAGGUCAUUUCUAGCCUUGCUCCGGUGUAUCAAGGUUGUUUGAGCCUGGUUCUGGCUUCCCCGACUCCGAUCAGUGACCUUUUCAAAGCCUUUCUGAAAUCCUAACCUUCGAGGUUUUCUCCCAUUUUUAAAUCCGUUGUGUGUCUGUGCUUUACUUGAGGUUUUCAAGCGAUUCUACCGACUUUUCUUUCAAAUCAGUGUCUAAAAACCUUUCUUUUCCAAUCUAGGGUUUUCUGAAAGGCGUUUAAAUGUUUUAUGAUUUUUCUUUGUCAUUUAUGCGUAUUUGUCUCUACUGUGUUAUUGUAUCAUGUUCUUAUAUGAUUUUCUUACUAUAUUUUCCUGUGUUAUGGUAUCGUAUGCUUUUCUACUAUGUUCUUAUGUUUUCUUCUACCACAUAUGUUCUUCUACUGUGCUUUCUAUAUUCCGCUCUUCUACUGUGUUUUCUAUACCAUGUUCUCAUAUGUUCAUCUUACUGUGUUUUCCUAUAUGUUCUUUUACUAUACUUUUCAAGUGGUUUUUUGUUAUUCUACUGUAUUUUUUACUAAGUUCUUAAGUUUCUUUAUUUGCCUUCUACUGAACCUUGUUUGAGUUUUUCUAAAGAAUGUUUCUUCUAUUGUAUUCCUAAGCGUUCUACUAUUUUUCUUCUACUGAACCUUGUUUGAAUUCUUUUAAAAAGACUUUCUUAAGCAUGUUUCUUCUACUAUAGUCUUAAAUGUUUUUACUAUUUUUUCUCUACUGAACAUUGGUUAAGUUUCUUCUAAAAAGCAUAUUUCUUCUACUAUUUCCCUUUAUAUUCUUUGAAUCCCUCUACUGUGUUUGCAUCAUGAGUUCUGAAAGAGGCAUGUUAGAAGCUUCAGUCCUCUUUUGAAUCCUCUACACAUGUAUCGAUUCAAUUUGCUUUCCCUCUCCUCUUUAGUUUCUGGUUUGUUCUAACUAGGCAUUUAUUUCAAAGAACCCCUAAUUCUUUCAAACCGACUUUGAGUCUUUGAACAUAGUAUGAACAUCUUUGUUUUCAUACAAUUCUGAAUUUUUUGUUGAACUCUCCUAUACUGGCAUUUUUACUGAUUUUAUGACAAGUUUCUUUCAUGCAUAACGUGUCUGUAUGCUUUUUUAUAGGUUAUGAGUUUCGAUUUAAAAUAAUUUCAAACUUGUGAUUGAUUCAAAAUUCCUUUUAAAUAGGUCUAAUUGAUUGUUUCUUGAUUCUUUUUAAGUUAAAACCUUUUCCAUCUAUCUGGCUUGGUUCAUUCAUAACAAAUCUUUGACCUCUAAUUUCCUGGCUGUUAAUUGAUUCUUUUGCCUUAUUUGCACAAAUUGGUACUGUCAAGACCCUGUCCUUAAAUAGCCUUUAUGUAUUUGCCCUCAAUUGUAUGCUUUACACAAAAUGUUUACUUAAUUUCUUUCCUUAAUUGGCUUAUACCCAUUUGAACCUGAAUCCCUUAAUUAAAGGGAGCUUUGUGUAAGUGAUUGAAAAUCAGUUCUUUAAAUAUUUUCUUACCUUAUUUCUGUUUCCUUCUGCACUAUAAAUACAUGACCUUUAAUUUCAAAAAAACAUGAUUUUUCUAACAAUUACAC
This 1766-nucleotide long non-coding RNA is filed under the name Nicotiana benthamiana. RNAcentral describes it as "long non-coding RNA (NBEN_LNC003979)". The record is from RNAcentral. Lineage: Eukaryota; Viridiplantae; Streptophyta; Magnoliopsida; Solanales; Solanaceae.